RNAcentral lists this ribosomal RNA (254 nucleotides) under uncultured bacterium. RNAcentral's name for it is "partial 16S ribosomal RNA". It matches the Rfam family "Bacterial small subunit ribosomal RNA", at positions 524 to 776 of the family's 1533-position model. The record is from RNAcentral.
UACAGAGACUGCAAGCGUUAUUCGGAUUCACUGGGCGUAAAGGGUGCGCAGGCGGCCAAGUGUGUUAGGCGUGAAAGCCCGGGGCUUAACCCCGGAAUUGCACCUAAAACUACAUGGCUAGAGCAUUGGAGAGGGUAGCGGAAUUCACGGUGUAGCAGUGAAAAUGCGUAGAUAUCGUGAGGAACACCAGAGGCGAAGGCGGCUACCUGGACAAUUGCUGACGCUCAGGCACGAAAGCGUGGGGAGCAAACAGG